This 76-nucleotide transfer RNA is filed under the name Clostridiaceae bacterium. RNAcentral describes it as "tRNA-Lys". It matches the Rfam family "tRNA". Rfam says of the family: Transfer RNA (tRNA) molecules are approximately 80 nucleotides in length. Their secondary structure includes four short double-helical elements and three loops (D, anti-codon, and T loops). Lineage: Bacteria; Bacillati; Bacillota; Clostridia; Eubacteriales; Clostridiaceae. The record is from RNAcentral.
GCGCCAUUAGCUCAGUUGGUAGAGCACCUGACUCUUAAUCAGGGUGUCCGGGGUUCGAGUCCCCGAUGGCGUACCA